AUUGAACGCUGGCGGCAGGCCUAACACAUGCAAGUCGAGCGGAGCGGCGGACGGGUGUGUAAUGCCUAGGAAUCUGCCUGGUCGUGGGGGAUACCGUCCGGAACCGGUCGCUAUUACCGCAUUCUAUCAGGUGAGCCUCGGUCGGAUUAGCUAGUUGGUGGGGUAAGUGCCUACCCAGGCGACGAUCCGUAACUGGAGUGAGAGGAUGAUCAGUCCCAUGGGAACGGAGACACGGUCCAGACUACUACGGGAGGCAGCAGUGGGGAAUAUUGGACAAUGGGCGAAAGCAUGGUCCAGCCAUGGAGACGGUGUGAAGAAGGCCUUCGGAUUGUAAAGCACUUUAAGGGGGGAGGCGGUACUAACAGAAGAAGCACCGGCUAACUUCGUGCCAGCAGCCGCGGUAAUUC
This 407-nucleotide ribosomal RNA is filed under the name uncultured bacterium. RNAcentral's name for it is "partial 16S ribosomal RNA". It matches the Rfam family "Bacterial small subunit ribosomal RNA", at positions 30 to 526 of the family's 1533-position model. The record is from RNAcentral.